GGAGCGGUAGUUCAGACGGUUAGAAUACCGGCCUGUCACGCCGGGGGUCGCGGGUUCGAGUCCCGUCCGCUCCGCCA
Molecule: transfer RNA, 77 nt
Filed under: Candidatus Competibacteraceae bacterium
Lineage: Bacteria; Pseudomonadati; Pseudomonadota; Gammaproteobacteria; Candidatus Competibacteraceae
Description: tRNA-Asp
Rfam family: tRNA
About the family: Transfer RNA (tRNA) molecules are approximately 80 nucleotides in length. Their secondary structure includes four short double-helical elements and three loops (D, anti-codon, and T loops).
Source: RNAcentral